RNAcentral lists this small RNA (90 nucleotides) under Salmonella enterica. Its description in RNAcentral is "RtT sRNA". It matches the Rfam family "RtT RNA", at positions 18 to 118 of the family's 130-position model. Rfam says of the family: This family represents a bacterial cis-regulatory element known as RtT RNA. The record is from RNAcentral. RNAcentral also lists the same sequence under 2 other names. Lineage: Bacteria; Pseudomonadati; Pseudomonadota; Gammaproteobacteria; Enterobacterales; Enterobacteriaceae.
GAGGAUGAGAACCUCCGGGGGCGGGAGGUUCGACCCGAGCGAAGCGAGAGAACGUUGCGCGAGCAACGGCCCGCAGGGCAAGCCAUCCUC